UCAGUAAGUUCAAGGCCAGCCUGGUGUAAAAGGUCUGAGUGGAGGUACAUGUCCUUACAAGAUAGUGAUGGACAGCAUCAGUUGGCCUGCUCAGGUCACAGCUGGACCACACUUGGCCGGCACAUCGACACACUUGAGCGGCUAGGGAUGCGUGAAAGUGAUGCGGUGUUUCCACUUGGUCUGGAGUAGCUGCAGGGAGAGCUUUAUCGAGUUGAGAGAAGUGGUCCUUCAACUCCUGAGGGUAGAAUGAGGUGAAAGAGUAGGCUGAGAUGCUGGUGGUGGUGUGAGGAAAUGAUCACCUGACAUGGAUGCUGUGGGAAGUCACUGAGACACACAGCAUUCGUGACUUCCAGGCUGCCGUGGACUGUAUCCUCCAGCUCUCCUGGCAAUGGGAAGCUCAGGGCCAUUGAUCAAGGCUAUUUUCAAGCAGGACUUGUUAAGCAUACUUACUGAGUAAAUGGAAUUUUUUUUUAAAGAGCUAGAACAUUCCAGAGCGUUCCUGAAGAGAUCUUCAGCAAGCUUGCUGAUAUCCUUGAAGAAAGGCACAUUACUUCACGGUUUCCCCCAUGGACGUCGCACAGAACAUCAAGCAAACCCUCUGGGCAUGCUGGUGGAAGCCUCCAGACGAAGUCGGCUCCUGGCUUAAGCAAGCACUGUUUGCUGACCUCUGACCUACGUACCCCGGCCCAGAAGGGAUUCAACCCCUGAUCUUGAUUUAUGGCACUCACAGGUAAGCUAAGCUUUGCAAAUAUUUUGUGUUAUUUUUACCAAUUAUGUAAACUUUUAUCCAAUUGGGGGAUCCCCGUCAUGAGCGAGAGGAAGGGCAGAAGCUGCGGCUUCCCAUUUUCACCCCAGGUGCCACUUUCGGGGCCACCCACUGAGGGGAGGCAGAGGGGAGACUUCCAUCUCACUGUUUUCCUCUGUAAGGGUGUUUGUCUGGAAGUGUGCGCCACAGCGGCCAGGAAAGGGCACUGUGUCCCCUGGGACUAGAGUCACAGAUGAGCUGCCAUGUGGGCGCUGGGGAUUAACCCCUGAUCCUCUAGCAGAGCAGUCAGUGCUCUGGACCAGGAAGACAUUUCCCAAGCCUCAGGACAUUCCCAUCUGAGGGUGGGGUAGCCCCUGGGGAAGUUGGAAGAGAGGCGGGCCCAGAGCAGUGGGAGACCAGGCCGCCCUUCACAAACCAGUACGGGAGUUCUCUCAGGCGGACUCCAAGGGGCAUUUGACAAUGCUUGGUAAGUUUUGUGGUUCUCCCCUUUCUUGAGAUAGGCUCUUGUCCUGUAGCCCUGGCCGGCUCGGUACUAUGGUAGUCUAGGCUAACCUCAAACUGGCAAUCCUCCUGCCUCUGCCUCCAGAGUACUGAGGUUACAGGUGUGAGCCGUCACACUUGGCUAGUAAUGUUAGUAAACACCUUAAAAGGCACAGGGCAGUCCUCAGAACAAAAGUUGUUCAAAAGACCGACAAACCCCAGCUGGGCUCAGUAAGAGAUGCUCCCUGUGUGGUGUCUUUUCUUUCUCCCCCUCUUUGUCUUUUUUUUUUUUUUUUUUUUGUUUUUUUUUUUUUUUUUUUUUUUAAGAUAGGACCCCUAAGCUGACCUUGUGAUCCUCCUGCUACAGCAUUUUGAGUAGUGUGUAGUUUACUUCUAAUAAAAUAGUCCACACUGGAGCCUGGGAUACAGCGUGUGGUCAAGUGAGGAAUUCUGGAGUCAGUUCCCAGCACAAAACAAUAAUCGAAUGGGGUCCACCUUUGCCUUGGAUCCACUCACUCAGAGCUGGGGUACAGUGGUGGACACCUGUGAUUCCAGCACCUGGAAGCUGAGGCAGGAAGGCUGCUGAAAGGCCAGGGCAAGAUCCUGUCCCCAAAACCAAAAAUCAGUCAGGCAGGCAGGGGUGGAGAGCUAACUCUGGUUAAGAGUACUUCCUGCUCUACCCGGAGGACUUGAGUUGGGUUCGGAGCAUGGACGUCUGGUGUCUCCCAACCACCUGCAACUCAAGCUCGUGGGAUCCGAUGCCCUCUGCUGGCCUCCAAGGGUACCUGCACUUGUGUGCACAUCCCUCCACACAUACAUACACAUAAUUAAAAUAAUAAAAAUCUUUUUAAAAAGUCAGCUGUUGUAGGGGAGAGGCUCUGGUUAGGAGGAGCUACGUGACAGGGGCCACACAGCCUCGAAAGUGGAGUGAUGUCCUAACCUUGUUUACAUCAUCUGUAGUGACCACACAGAAACCGAUCUCUAGUGCCCUCCUAGUUCCCAAAUUCUCCAAAUCCUGUACUUUUGACAUUCCUUUUUCUCUCUUUUAUUUUAUUAGGCAGAGUCUCAAUAGUCCAGGUAGGCCUAGAACUCACAACGUAGCUAAACUUCUGAGUUCAGAGAUUAUAGUCAUGCACCACCACCAGUGUAUACAGUUGCAUGUAGGGCUUUCUUUCUGUAUGCUAGGGAGGCACUUCACCAACUGAGACCCAGCCUCUGCACUCCCUGGCUGUGGCACUGAGCCUUGGGACUCAUGCACGCCAGGCAAGCACUGUUACUGAGCCCCCAGGAGCUCCCCUUCUGCUCUCCCCUCCCCUCCCCUUCCCUCCCCUCCCCUCCCCUGGUCUCCUCUCAGAUCUCACUGUGGUGCCCGGGCCGACCUCACACUGGGUUCCAGUCAUUCCCCUGCCUCCGGCUUCUAAGAAGCUGCCCCUACAGCCAUGUUCCACCACACCCAUCGUGGGUAUUUCUUGUAAGUUUUGGGUCAAUAGAAGAGGAAGUGACUCAGAAAUCCAAUAGAGGAAGCUGGACAAUGACUCAGAUUUUCCUAAUCAUAAAAAGCAUUUUGACAUGACCCUUAAUGUCAAGUAAGACUCAUGACAAUUGAGUAUCCCCAGGACUUUCCUUUACCCAGCUCAGUUAGUAUUCACAUGGGGUGACUAGUCACAGCUUGUCUCGGCCAAAAAAAAAAAAAAAAAAAAAUCUCCCUCCUAGGUCUGCUGAUGUUUGCAUUCUCUUCCUCUCCAGGGUUUCAUGUAGCCCAGGCUGGUUUCAGACCCCCUGUAGCCAAGGAUGGCUCCUGAGCUUCCUGCUCACACCUCCCAAGUGCUGGAUUACAGCAUCUUCUUAGAGGUGGGACUUAACGUCACCACUCAGCACGCUAAGAGGCAACCACCAAGGAGCUCUGUGGCCAGCACGGAAACGACUUUGAUGGGUUUCAUGUGACCCAGAUGACUGGAACCUCACAGGUGGCUAAAGAUGACCCUGAACUGCUGACCCUUCUACCUCAUCUGGAUGACAGGAGCGUGCCACCCUGUGCCACCCUGUGCCAUCCUGUGGCUCUUCCAACACCCUCUUAUUUAUUGAAACCCUGGCGCUUGGACUCAGGCCUUCCUAGGAAAAGGCUCUGCUGCCGAGGUAGCCCUCCGCACCUGGACAUUUGCACACCGCCCUUCCUGCUUCAGAGGUGGUUCCAUCAGAAGCUCCUCUACACGUUCGGUCCUGUCCUACACUAGGACAGACCCCAGCUUCAUCCGUUCCUCCCCAGGCUCACACAGUAUCCCACUGACUCAGUUCUCCAAGUCCCUUCAUUGUUUCUAAAUUAGAUUCUUUAAUUUUCCCUUUGUAAAAAGUACAUUUGUGUCCGGAGGCAGACUCAGUUAAGGGUGCAAGCAUGCAGCCCCAGGUCCAAGGCCUAGCAUCACAUAAACCCCCGUGAUUUGGCUUACUUACGUCUAUCAUCACUUAGGAGGGAGAGGCAGGAGAUCAAGACCAUUCUCAGAUACAUGGACUAGCCUGGGCUGUAGGACACCCUGUCUCAACAAGAACAAAAUAAAAAGUAAAAAGAAAAGCAUCUCUAAUUAAGCUGCUCAGGAUCAGUGAAAUGAUGAGGAUGAGGGGAAGAGGGAUGCAAUGGGGUGAAUAUGAUAACCAAAAGUUGCAUCAGAGCUAAAGUUAACCUGCAAGUCCCACUUGCCCAAGGACAAAAUAACUUCCUGGAAUGCUGGGAGCUGCAGUCCUUGGGAAAUAACAAGCCACAUGUUUUACUCCCCUAAACAAGACUGCCUGAACCAGCUAUACCACCGAAUGUGAUCGACCACAUGCAGGUGAGAGAUACACAGGCAGGAAAUUGUGCAUCAGGAUGCAUGCUUGCCCCAUGGGAAAUGUGGUGAAUUGUGAGGUUUGUCCUUUUAUGCCCCUGCAAAACGUGACCUGUGGCCAUUCCCUGGGAAUCCAGGGAUAGUCCUGGCCAGAGUCCAUCAACCUGGCCAGUAUUUAAUUAAAGCUUGCUUCAAAU
This is a non-coding RNA of Peromyscus maniculatus bairdii (prairie deer mouse), 4262 nucleotides long. NCBI's taxonomy places the organism in Eukaryota, Metazoa, Chordata, Mammalia, Rodentia, Cricetidae. The record is from RefSeq and is a predicted model, not a curated record.